GAAAUUUCGUCCUCGAAAUUUAGACUAUGUUAUCUCUUCAUAAUUGUGUUUGAAAAGUUGAUGUCAAGGGAAACAAGAUGUAUAGAUACAGUCACUAGUGUGACUAAGUUAACAGGAUCCAACAAUGAACAGGAACUUCGACCAAUCGAAUUCCAUGUGAACGUUUAUAACAUGUAAACAAGUUCUAGACGCAAUAACAUCCACUAGAUGAACUUAGAAUCAACAACCUCAAAUAUACUAGUUUGCACGAAACGCUCGAUCGUGAUCAGCACAAGCUGCAAGUUAUACCGACGCGACAAGGUGUCGCAAUGAAUGAAACAAUUCAAUAAUAGGGGUGAUCGAACAAGUAUCACCUGUGUUUUGCAUGAAACGCUCAAUCAUGAUUAGCCCAAGCUACAAGUUUGUACCAACACCACAAGGUGUCGUAAUGAUUUAAACAAUCCAAUAAUAGCGGUGAUCAAACAAUUUCACCGUGUUCGAUGUCAAAUGAAUGCGCAGUAAAGGGAAUCUGAAAGUUUGUUUUAAAUGACAUCAUAGAAUUUUCAAUUGAAAAUGAAACAUCAAAGAAAUAAUGUUUUCGAUCGAAGACGAAGGAACAAUGAAUAUCGUAAGAUAGUCGAUCGAUGUUGAAAGGACCGUUAGAAGGUACACCGGAAUAUGGAAUGAAUUUUGUGUACCCUUGUCUUAUCACACGAUUGUGUUAAGACUGUUUAGAUUAUGAUAAAUCAAAUAGGAUUUAAAGCAAUCAAUAAGUAAAUAUUUAAAUCCGUGCAUGAGAUGUCUAAACGAGUUUAGCGC
Molecule: long non-coding RNA, 798 nt
Filed under: Helianthus annuus (common sunflower)
Lineage: Eukaryota; Viridiplantae; Streptophyta; Magnoliopsida; Asterales; Asteraceae
Description: hypothetical non coding rna
Source: RNAcentral